AGCUCCAAUAGCGUAUGUUAACAUUGCUGCAGUUAAAAUGCUCGUAGUCGAAUUUUUGGUCGUUAGAACUCUGCCUGGCUCUUAGGAGUCUGUGCGGACUUGUUCAACGUCCAUUCUUCUGGCGUCGUACUUCUGCUCUUGAUUGGGUGGUCGUACAAACCAGAUCAUUUACUGUGAACAAAUGAGGUUGUUCAAAGAAGGCUUUUUAAGCCUGAAUCUAUUAGCAUGGAAUAAUAAGAUAGGACUUUGGUUCUAUUUUGUUGGCUUCUCGAAUCAAAGUAAUGAUUGAUAGGGACCGUUGGGGGUGCUCGUAUUCAUGGGGGAGCGGUGAAAUGCUUGGAUCCUAUGAAGACGAACUAAUGCGAAAGCAUUCACCAAGGAGGUCUUCUUUG
RNAcentral lists this ribosomal RNA (392 nucleotides) under Arachnula sp. RNAcentral's name for it is "partial small subunit ribosomal RNA". It matches the Rfam family "Eukaryotic small subunit ribosomal RNA", at positions 587 to 975 of the family's 1831-position model. Lineage: Eukaryota; Endomyxa; Vampyrellida; Leptophryidae. The record is from RNAcentral.